Molecule: ribosomal RNA, 254 nt
Filed under: uncultured bacterium
Lineage: Bacteria
Description: partial 16S ribosomal RNA
Rfam family: Bacterial small subunit ribosomal RNA
Source: RNAcentral
UACGUAGGGUGCAAGCGUUAAUCGGAAUUACUGGGCGUAAAGCGUGCGCAGGCGGUUAUGUAAGACAGGUGUGAAAUCCCCGGGCUUAACCUGGGAACUGCAUUUGUGACUGCAUAGCUAGAGUACGGUAGAGGGGGAUGGAAUUCCGCGUGUAGCAGUGAAAUGCGUAGAGAUGUGGAGGAACACCGAUGGCGAAGGCAGCCCCCCUGGGUUAACACUGACGCUCAGGCACGAAAGCGUGGGGAGCAAACAGG